CUACGGGGGGCAGCAGUGAGGAAUUUUGCGCAAUGGGGGCAACCCUGACGCAGCAACGCCGCGUGAGUGAAGAAGGCCUUUGGGUCGUAAAGCUCUGUCAACUGGGAAGAAGUUAAGAUUGUUUAAUAGAUGAUCUUAUUGACGGUACCAGUGGAGGAAGCGCCGGCUAACUCCGUGCCAGCAGCCGCGGUAACACGGGGGGCGCAAGCGUUAUUCGGAAUUAUUGGGCGUAAAGGGCGCGCAGGCGGUCUUGUCAGUCAGGUGUGAAAGCCCGGGGCUCAACCCUGGAAGUGCACUUGAAACAGAAAGACUUGAAUACGGGAGAGGAAAGCGGAAUUCCUGGUGUAGAGGUGAAAUUCGUAGAUAUCAGGAGGAACACCGAUGGCGAAGGCAGCUUUCUGGACCGAUAUUGACGCUGAGGCGCGAAGGCGUGGGUAGCGAACGGGAUUAGAUACCCUAGUAGUC
RNAcentral lists this ribosomal RNA (465 nucleotides) under uncultured bacterium. Its description in RNAcentral is "partial 16S ribosomal RNA". It matches the Rfam family "Bacterial small subunit ribosomal RNA", at positions 339 to 795 of the family's 1533-position model. The record is from RNAcentral.